RNAcentral lists this ribosomal RNA (447 nucleotides) under uncultured bacterium. RNAcentral describes it as "SSU rRNA". It matches the Rfam family "Bacterial small subunit ribosomal RNA", at positions 26 to 518 of the family's 1533-position model. The record is from RNAcentral.
AGAGCGAACGCUGGCGGCAGGCUUAACACAUGCAAGUCGAGCGGGCGUAGCAAUACGUCAGCGGCAGACGGGUGAGUAACGCGUGGGAACGUACCUUUUGGUUCGGAACAACCCAGGGAAACUUGGGCUAAUACCGGAUAAGCCCUUACGGGGAAAGAUUUAUCGCCGAAAGAUCGGCCCGCGUCUGAUUAGCUAGUUGGUGAGGUAAUGGCUCACCAAGGCGACGAUCAGUAGCUGGUCUGAGAGGAUGAUCAGCCACAUUGGGACUGAGACACGGCCCAAACUCCUACGGGAGGCAGCAGUGGGAAUAUUGGACAAUGGGCGCAAGCCUGAUCCAGCCAUGCCGCGUGAGUGAUGAAGGCCCUAGGGUUGUAAAGCUCUUUUGUGCGGGAAGAUAAUGACGGUACCGCAAGAAUAAGCCCCGGCUAACUUCGCGCCAGCAGCCGC